RNAcentral lists this ribosomal RNA (253 nucleotides) under uncultured bacterium. RNAcentral describes it as "partial 16S ribosomal RNA". It matches the Rfam family "Bacterial small subunit ribosomal RNA", at positions 524 to 776 of the family's 1533-position model. The record is from RNAcentral.
UACGGAGGGUGCGAGCGUUGUCCGGAAUCAUUGGGCGUAAAGGGCGCGUAGGUGGCCCGGUCAGUCUUUGGUGAAAGCGCGGGGCUCAACCCCGGGUCGGCCGUGCGAACUGUCGAGCUGGAGCACUGUAGAGGCAGGUGGAAUUCCGGGUGUAGCGGUGGAAUGCGUAGAGAUCCGGAAGAACACCGGUGGCGAAGGCGGCCUGCUGGGCAGUGGCUGACGCUGAGGCGCGACAGCGUGGGGAGCAAACAGG